GCCUUUGAAACUGGUAGUCUUGAAUUAUUAUGAAGUGGUUAGAAUAAGUAGUGUAGCGGUGAAAUGCAUAGAUAUUACUUAGAAUACCAAUUGCGAAGGCAGAUCACUAAUAAUAUAUUGACGCUGAGGGACGAAAGCGUGGGGAGCGAACAGGAUUAGAUACCCUGGUAGUCCACGCCGUAAACGAUGGAUACUAGCUGUUCGGAUUUAUCUGAGUGGCUAAGCGAAAGUGAUAAGUAUCCCACCUGGGGAGUACGUUCGCAAGAAUGAAACUCAAAGGAAUUGACGGGGGCCCGCACAAGCGGUGGAGCAUGUGGUUUAAUUCGAUGA
RNAcentral lists this ribosomal RNA (330 nucleotides) under uncultured Bacteroidota bacterium. Its description in RNAcentral is "bacterial SSU rRNA". It matches the Rfam family "Bacterial small subunit ribosomal RNA", at positions 623 to 957 of the family's 1533-position model. Lineage: Bacteria; Pseudomonadati; Bacteroidota. The record is from RNAcentral.